Molecule: long non-coding RNA, 1336 nt
Organism: Spinacia oleracea (spinach)
Lineage: Eukaryota; Viridiplantae; Streptophyta; Magnoliopsida; Caryophyllales; Amaranthaceae
Exons: 2
Source: RefSeq, a predicted model, not a curated record
GAUUCUGCUCUUAUUCCCAUCACCCAUUCACCCCAUCUACGUAAUUGCGCGCUUCGUAACAAACUUUGGCUUUGUUUUUGUAGACCUUCUUUCAACAACUUUGGUGGAUACAAUUUACUUUCAACGAUACUACGAUAGUGGUCUAGGGAUUCAUGACUUACGGCCGGCCAUUUGACAUUUACGAUUAGAGAUGAUAAUGGGUCGGAUUCAGAUUCGGUGGAGCUUCACCUGCAUCCAUUCAUUAUCUAAUUAUUAAUAUAUAGAUAGGUAUGCACCCAUUUAUAUAUGCAUAUGCAAUGAAACGACUGUGUUUCAUCAAUAAGAAAUCACGCGCCUAUAUCACAUACCCAUUUUCUCUCACCUCUAACCUCCGCCCAUUUUCUCUCACCAUUUUCUCUCUCAUCAAAACCUCUCACUCUCUUUCCUCCAUUGAUGCGCCGUCGUCGAUAUGAUGUGCUCACUCUUUCCUUCCGCCGCUAACACCUAUUCCGGUUUUCUUCCACCGCUGCCGAAGAUAUGCCGUCGGAAAAUAUUGUACUUCUUCGCCGAUCUAUUAGUGUUCUUCGUCGCGACGCUUGAGAGGCUUCCUACCUACGACGAUCUGUUGUCCAAAUUGAGCGGAGAUUGCUGAUGAUUGCACCGUCUUUCGGCAGAGAGGCAGGGCUUCAAGCCGUAGAUCCAAGACUUUUUCUCGUUCUCGCAUUGCCAUUGAAGGUAACUAAUACUUUUAAGUUUUAACCAUCUCCUCCUUUUUCUUUCCCACAAUUUAUGCGUUUUUAUGCACAUUAAUCUCACCUUUUUUCUAGCUUCAUCAUUUUCUAUUAGUAUGGCUGCUUCAUGUUUGUUUUGAUCAGAUUCAUUAAUUUAUUGUUCGAUUGAUUUUAAAUUUCAAGUAUUAAAAUAAAUUAAUUAAUUAAUUUUGUUGACUGAUUUGGCUUUCAUAUUUGGUUAUGGGAGUGUUGCAAGAGGGAGAGGUGUGCUCAUGGUGCCAAUAAUGUUUUGAAGAAAGCUAUAUUGAUUGGUGUGGAAGGAAAAAGUUAAUAUGAAUGCGCCAACAAAAGAGAAAAAAACGAUUUAGAAAUGGAAGAUGUGGUAUUAAGAGAGGCUGCAAGAAUUGAAGGCGGAAGCAACAAGAAAAAAAAUCUGCAAAUAAGGAAGCUGAUAGAAAGAGAAGAGACCGGUGUAGCGAAAAAAGUGGAAGCCGAAAGGAAGCGGAAAAAUUAGAAGCAUAUAGAAAGAGAAAAUAGGCAGCAACAACUAAAAUAGAGGAAACAUAUAGAAAAUAAAUGACAUGUUCAUAAAAUUACUUUAAAUGUCCAUUUGUUUGUUUAUUAUA